Molecule: ribosomal RNA, 253 nt
Filed under: uncultured bacterium
Lineage: Bacteria
Description: partial 16S ribosomal RNA
Rfam family: Bacterial small subunit ribosomal RNA
Source: RNAcentral
UACGGGGGGGGCAAGCGUUGCUCGGAAUUACUGGGCGUAAAGGGCUCGUAGGCGGCCAACUAAGUCGGACGUGAAAUCCCUCGGCUUAACCGGGGAACUGCGUCCGAUACUGGAUGGCUUGAGUUUGGGAGAGGGAUGCGGAAUUCCAGGUGUAGCGGUGAAAUGCGUAGAUAUCUGGAGGAACACCGGUGGCGAAGGCGGCAUCCUGGACCAAUUCUGACGCUGAGGAGCGAAAGCCAGGGGAGCAAACGGG